CGGUUAAGACUUGAAGGUUUUAGAUAAUUUCGAAACAUGAUUUGUUUUUCCCCCGAUUGUGCGGCGUGAAAAUGUGAUCUCUGACCGCGAAAGUGGAGGUCAUUAUCCCUUAUCGUGACACGGUCAAUAUUAUCGACCCUGAGAACAUGGUGCAAGGGACUGCGACUCGCGUGCGACAGUUCCUAUGGAAACCCGCGAUCGAAUUCGUACCCCCUCCGUCGAUCGGAUUACUUCGGUACCCAGAGGUUGCUAUUACGCGCAAUCUUCGCAGUAGCACAAAUAUUGAUGCGGCGAGAGGUCGUGGAACCACGCGAGUCUGAAGAACUGCUGUGUUCUAAGAACGAGAUUUCACCGUCGGAGGAAUUCUGUUUUUUCAUUAUCGACAAGAAACACCAUUCUUGUGACUUUGACUUCUCCGAAGAUUUUUUCGAGUCUCCGGCUUUGUAAAAAUCCCUGAGACGAUGGAACGUUUCCCUCAUGGAAGGAAGUCUGUUAACCGUUGAAACGAGAUCGAUUAGUCGUUAAAAAUGGAUCGUGAUUCAUCAGCAGGGGGGAAAAUGCUUCAGUUCGCGAAGUCCUUAAUUCUAACCGAUUUGAUAGUAGCUAAAAUAAUUAUUGCGCUCGCGGUAUCGAGAAAGAAUUGAAAUUUUCGGCGAUUGUAUUUUACGUCAUCUUGAUCUUGAAAAACGAUGUAGAAUUAUAUAUCUUUAGUUAAAAAAUCAUCAGGUGUGGGAUAAAGAAAUUAUUUUCUAAAAUAUUGACUACAAAUAUUGCACAAAAUUUUACACGCUCAACAAUAAAAUAACAGAAUUCUCAUUUCGACAAAUUUAAUUAAUAAGUCAUAGUCAAUAACAAUGAAGUCUUGAUUUAAAAGUUGAAUUUUGAUAUGAUUAAAUUUGUUCUAUGAAGAAAAGUGCGAUAAAAAGCGACAUUAAAACUUCAAGUUUUGCAUGGUGCGUCUCUUUGUUGUUAGUAGUUUCGAUACUCGACUUUUUCGGAUAUUGAGAAGCGUUUUAGAUCGCAAUGUGAUUUCAUACAAAAAUUUUACAAUUAGGAAUAUCGAUCUCGGAAGUAUGUACGAGCGAAUUUAUAGAAACGGUUCGGUGAACGCAAGACACGGGGAGUUCCGUCGAGUAGUUCCCAGUUGCUGAUGGAAUUUUCCAUUGACCGUCGGUGAUUCCUCGAGUAGGUAGGCAGUCGACGAUAUCUAUGAUUAUGAGUUUAGUUUAGGGGAUUUAGUUUAGUUCCUCUUUCGCCUUUUUCGAUCGUCCGUCGUCACUGCCGCGCUUGUUCAUUACGUCUUCCCACGGGAAUCGCGUGCGAGGAUGACCGGAAGGACAUCGCUAGUAGAACAGAAGAGACUCCAGUGGGCGAGAGAAAGAGAAGAAAUGGCUCGUCUUGGUGUUAAUUGGGGAAAUCUAAAGCCAAAUAGCAAUUACGACCGCACCCACAUCCGUACUUACUCGAAUGAAGCCAGAUUAUCCUUGGAGGAAAUAAGGGAUAGGCCUUCCAUGCAAUCCUCCCGUACGGGACGUUAUGGAAGCACCAGUCUUAAGAAUCUGGCGAUGGAAAGUUCUGAAAGUGGCAGCAACAAUCUGAAAUGCCUUGAUUUUAACGGCGGUAGUUUAAUUAAUCUUCAGGACCAAGUGGAGACUUCGCAACUUAGACGCAGGAGUCCCAGUCUGCCUCCGAUUUUCAACAAGGAGCAACAGCAAUAUUUCUGUCAGCUGCAACAACAACCGCAUGAAUUUGGCGUAGAGGGAUCGCGAUACCAGUCACAGAGAUCGCAAAAAUUGGAACACUGCCGUUAUCGAUCCAACGAGCAUCGCAACAACCAAAAAGAGGCGCGACAACACGGUUCGGCGGGUGAGGAGCGUGAGGGGGAAACUUCUGGUUACGCUAGUGAUUCCGUGGAUGUGCCUCAAACACGGCAAAAAGCUUUGCCUGACAAAGCAGCAUCCAGAAUGGAAAUGACGGAGAAAACGUGGCAAAAUCCUUACUGCCCUACUCCGGAAAGUUCACUGCCACCGUCGAGAAGGCUUUCGCCAGGCAGAAUGGGUGAACUCAACAGGCCAAGAUGGGGUAGCGUUUGGGCUCAAGACUCAGCGAAGGGCGAUCCACCGCCGCCUUCUUGGCUGUCAAGAUUAGGACAGUCAAGUCAAGUUUUAGUAAUUAAUCACGACAGCGCCAGUAGCCCGGAUAGUUCAACGACUGAUUCAACUGGCUCCGACGUCAACAAGAUAUCUUAUCUUCGAGGUCAGAAUAUUCCAAUGGACGCGGAGAUCCUUCAGGAGCGGGAAAUGAGACGGCAGAAGGCGUUGGAGCUUCAAAAUGCCAUCAAGCAACAGCUCGAAGAGAAAGAUAGGCAGAGAAAAGAGGAAAAGGAGCGGCGAAUGAGAGAAGAAAUGUUGGAGGAUGAACGAAUCCGGCGAGAGAGAGAAAGAGACAAAGAAAGAUUCGAGAAGGAAAAGCGAAUGACACGCGAGAAAGAGGAGGCGAAGCUAAGAAAGGCACAAGCGAUGCGUGAGGUACUCCAAGCUGCGGAGCAACUGGCGAAGGAAGAGAAAAAGAAUCGAUGGAAACGAGAAGAGCACUUUAAUAGGGACACCGACGUGGUGACGCAGUCUUCCAAUAACUCGAACACAAACAUAAAUGACAAAUGCGAAGAACAAAAUUAUUCUCAAGUGCAGAAACAAAUCUCGGAAAGCGCAAGCUCAAUCAAUUAUCCCGAGGAGAAGUUUAGUCCAAAGAACGUCAAAGAAGCCGAAAAUUAUCGAAAGAACGAGAACAACAAAGAUUCGAGGGAAGUUUGUUCACAAACAGAGAAUUACGUGGACAAGUCGGAGAAGACUACGCAGCAGGAUCUAAACCCGAGAUCCCUUCAGGUUCCCGUGAGCAAAGACGUGGCAAUCGUGUUGAGCGGCCGGUUGGAGGACUCGGAGAUUCUAAGUAAAACAAAUCUGCAGCUGGUAAACUUGGUAAUGACACCGAGUCCGCGCCGAUUCGCAGAGAACACCGCGGACUACUUCUCGCUGGGGUUCAACACGAUUGUGAUGAACAACGGAAGCCCUAGGAAUCCGAGAAGGUCCGCGAAGGAUGCUUCGUCGACCGUUGUGGAGAACAGACUGUUGACGCCGAGCAAAUACAGAAUGCCGACUGGCCGAGAUUUCGGCACACAGACGGACGUGGAAUCCGAUGUCCAGGAACUGCGCGAGAAGCUGCAGGAUCAGUUGAUCAGAGACCAAGGUACUACAAAGGACCGGAAGGACACGACAAACGCCAACAGAAGAAACGUUGAAAAAUCGAAUAAUGUGGGUCCCGGUGAAGAAAUCCCUAUAAAAACUUUACCGCGAUCUAAAUCGCAGCCCAGAACUACGCUCGAUAGUAGACCGCGAUGGAAUGCUAACCGUCCAGGUACACGAUAUCGAACGCAAAGCGAGAAAGAUCCGCAUUAUCAGAGACGACUGCGUUUAAGAAGACGACAAAUCGAGUCCAGCGAUGAAGGAUCUAGAUCUCCGUCCCCCGACCGGCGGAAAUCAAAUAACGGAAAGUCGAAGAAUCGAAAUACCAUGAGGCGUACAGCGAAACCUGAGAAUUAUGACGCCGAUCUGUCAAUGGAUAGUCUAAAUUCUGUUGUGCCCCUACGGAUCGACAAAGAUGGAAAAAUUAAUGUCGAGGAGCAUACUGAAAAAUUACGAUCAAAAAAUGCGAAUCACUCAAAACGAGCAAACGAUGAUAGCUCUAAUGUCUGGUGCGGACAAGAAAUCUUGUCGACAUUAUCAUCAUUGAAAAGCGGACUUCUAAUGAAGCAGAUCGAGUGGGACUCUGAGCGAUGCCUGGUCUCGCCCAUUGCAUCCGAAACCUUUUAACUGCAAGAUUUCCUAUCCGUCAGAACCAUCAUUUUGUUUUUUUUUGUUUGCGUAGAAAAUUUAAAUAAUGGCUUUUCAACUAGACGAUCUACUGAAGGACGACAAGAAAGAUGCAAAUUUGAUACCCGAUUUAAGUAAAACGACUUGCAAUUCUUACGAGGAAUUCCGACGACUCAA
Molecule: RNA transcript, 4046 nt
Organism: Solenopsis invicta (red fire ant)
Lineage: Eukaryota; Metazoa; Arthropoda; Insecta; Hymenoptera; Formicidae
Gene name: trichohyalin
Exons: 13
Source: RefSeq, a predicted model, not a curated record